GCAGUGGUGGUUCAGUGGUAGAAUUCUCACCUUCUAUCUGGGAGACCUGAGUUCAAUUCCCAGCCAAUGCA
This 71-nucleotide transfer RNA is filed under the name Loxodonta africana (African savanna elephant). It matches the Rfam family "tRNA". Rfam says of the family: Transfer RNA (tRNA) molecules are approximately 80 nucleotides in length. Lineage: Eukaryota; Metazoa; Chordata; Mammalia; Proboscidea; Elephantidae. The record is from Rfam by way of RNAcentral.